RNAcentral lists this ribosomal RNA (994 nucleotides) under Chryseobacterium sp. RNAcentral's name for it is "bacterial SSU rRNA". It matches the Rfam family "Bacterial small subunit ribosomal RNA", at positions 56 to 1056 of the family's 1533-position model. Lineage: Bacteria; Pseudomonadati; Bacteroidota; Flavobacteriia; Flavobacteriales; Weeksellaceae. The record is from RNAcentral.
UGCAAGCCGAGCGGUAUUUGUUCUUCGGAACAGAGAGAGCGGCGUACGGGUGCGGAACACGUGUGCAACCUGCCUUUAUCAGGGAGAUAGCCUUUCGAAAGGAAGAUUAAUAUCCCAUAAUAUUUAGACUGGCAUCAGUAUAAAUUGAAAGCUCCGGCGGAUAGAGAUGGGCACGCGCAAGAUUAGAUAGUUGGCGGGGUAACGGCCCACCAAGUCAAUGAUCUUUAGGGGGCCUGAGAGGGUGAUCCCCCACACUGGUACUGAGACACGGACCAGACUCCUACGGGAGGCAGCAGUGAGGAAUAUUGGACAAUGGGUGAGAGCCUGAUCCAGCCAUCCCGCGUGAAGGACGACGGCCCUAUGGGUUGUAAACUUCUUUUGUAUAGGGAUAAACCUACCCUCGUGAGGGUAGCUGAAGGUACUAUACGAAUAAGCACCGGCUAACUCCGUGCCAGCAGCCGCGGUAAUACGGAGGGUGCAAGCGUUAUCCGGAUUUAUUGGGUUUAAAGGGUCCGUAGGCGGACUCGUAAGUCAGUGGUGAAAUCUCAUAGCUUAACUAUGAAACUGCCAUUGAUACUGCGGGUCUUGAGUAAGGUAGAGGUAGCUGGAAUAAGUAGUGUAGCGGUGAAAUGCAUAGAUAUUACUUAGAACACCAAUUGCGAAGGCAGGUUACCAUGUCUUAACUGACGCUGAUGGACGAAAGCGUGGGGAGCGAACAGGAUUAGAUACCCUGGUAGUCCACGCCGUAAACGAUGCUAACUCGUUUUUGGGUUUUCGGAUUCAGAGACUAAGCGAAAGUGAUAAGUUAGCCACCUGGGGAGUACGUUCGCAAGAAUGAAACUCAAAGGAAUUGACGGGGGCCCGCACAAGCGGUGGAUUAUGUGGUUUAAUUCGAUGAUACGCGAGGAACCUUACCAAGGCUUAAAUGGGAAUUGACAGGUUUAGAAAUAGACUUUUCUUCGGACAAUUUUCAAGGUGCUGCAUGGUUGUCGUC